Molecule: non-coding RNA, 84 nt
Organism: Paraburkholderia phenazinium
Lineage: Bacteria; Pseudomonadati; Pseudomonadota; Betaproteobacteria; Burkholderiales; Burkholderiaceae
Source: Rfam
GCGCAAUCCGCCAAACGGUCAGGCCGUGUCGCGGAAGGUUUCGGUAACCCGCUAUUUCUCGAGAAACUCGAAGAAAGGUGAGCG